GAUCUGGCUCAGGAUGAACGCUAGCUACAGGCUUAACACAUGCAAGUCGAGGGGAAACGAUAGAGAAAGCUUGCUUUUUCUAGGCGUCGACCGGCGCACGGGUGAGUAACGCGUAUCCAACCUGCCCACCACUUGGGGAUAACCUUGCGAAAGUAAGACUAAUACCCAAUGAUAUCUCUAGAAGACAUCUGAAAGGGAUUAAAGAUUUAUCGGUGAUGGAUGGGGAUGCGUCUGAUUAGCUUG
This 243-nucleotide ribosomal RNA is filed under the name uncultured bacterium. Its description in RNAcentral is "partial 16S ribosomal RNA". It matches the Rfam family "Bacterial small subunit ribosomal RNA", at positions 15 to 248 of the family's 1533-position model. The record is from RNAcentral.